GGGGAAGUACUCAAGUGGCUGAAGAGGCGCCCCUGCUAAGGGUGUAGGCGGGUUAUACCGCGCGAGAGUUCGAAUCUCUCCUUCUCCG
This is a transfer RNA of 88 nucleotides. It matches the Rfam family "tRNA". From Rfam's summary of the family: Transfer RNA (tRNA) molecules are approximately 80 nucleotides in length. Their secondary structure includes four short double-helical elements and three loops (D, anti-codon, and T loops). The record is from Rfam.